RNAcentral lists this long non-coding RNA (1333 nucleotides) under Oreochromis niloticus (Nile tilapia). RNAcentral's name for it is "lncRNA (ENSONIG00000029065.1)". Lineage: Eukaryota; Metazoa; Chordata; Actinopteri; Cichliformes; Cichlidae. The record is from RNAcentral.
CUACAAUGUAAAUAGUCAUGAAAAUAAAGAAAAAACCUUUAAAUGAGACUGUUAGUGUAUACAUAGAUGGCGUAAUAUUUCUGCAUUCCUGUGUUUGUAAAAUAAAUUAAAAACAAAAAAAAUCUGCACACUGAAAAAAACGUGGGAAAGAAGAAGCUGAGGUUAUUUUGUCUCUACUCUUUGUUUUACUUCCUUUAUCACCUUUCCACAUACAGUUUGUGAACACCGACUGAUAUGUAGUAUCAGUCAUUUCUGUUAUUUAACUGUAUGAACACACUCUGAACACCAAGAAGACAUGGAAGCUGUGCUUGGAUUGAUAGUGAUGUUGCUGGGAUUGUCUCAUGGUGUGGAAACUUACUGUGAUGGCAGACCGGAUGGAGCUCAGUGUUAUGGAGCUUUGGGAGGAACUGUGGAGAUCCAGCUGAUGAACAGCACCUCAAAAAUACCUCGAUACCAACUGUUAAAGAAUUCAUUAAAAAUACUAGAUGUGAGAAAAAAAAAGAUUCUUUCUAAUAUCAUACAAAAUAGGUCUCUCUUUUUUCCCAGUAAUGGAACAUUUAGGCUCAAUUACCUGAGCAGGAAUGACAGUGGUAAUUAUAGCCUUAUAACAUUUAAUUCAGAUGGAAAAGCAUCAGACGAGCAGACUCUACACUUGUUUGUUCAAGCUCCUGUGUCCUCUGUCCUGCUGGUCUCUGAGUGUCUGUCCCAGGAAGAGAGGAUGGUGUCCUGCUCCUCUGAGGGAGGGGACAGUCCUCAGUACAGCUGGACUCUGGAUGGACGCACACUGACAGAUGCUGAGCUCCUUUCUGCAAAUAAUGAGACUAACGUUAUCACUCUGAAACAGCACGUCUCAGGACGUCUGGUCUGCUCAGUCAGGAACAACGUCACUAAUGUUUUCAUAGAACACAGGAUGUCUACCUGUGCUCCAUCAGUGGGAUACAGACAUCAGGAUAAGUCCUUGCUUAUAUGUGGUUUGCGAGCAGUUGUGGUCAUUCUCUUGCUAAUUGGGAUUUCCAUCUACUUCGCUUGGAAAAAAAAGGAACAUGCCAAAGCUGAAGUCUCUGCUGUCCCACAAACAAGAGGAGAUCCAGAAGACUCUGUUCUGAUGGUUGAAAUGAGUUCUGCAACUUACACCAACACCUAGUGUCACCUUUUACUUGCUGUUGUUUUUGUCAUUGGUUCACAAGCAUGAAAAUAACAUUUAGAGAGAAAUUCUUGUUUCACAGACAGCUCAUAUUGAAUUAUGAUGAGACGCUCUGUGGUUUCUGGAUUUUACAUUUUUAAUACAAAUCUUUACAAUUCUUAAACAAUAAAGUCUUGAAUUAAGUUUUCU